Non-coding RNA from Paramuricea clavata, 770 nucleotides. NCBI's taxonomy places the organism in Eukaryota, Metazoa, Cnidaria, Anthozoa, Malacalcyonacea, Plexauridae. The record is from the annotation of a GenBank genome assembly.
UUUAGAGAACUAGAUUUCUGUACCACCCAGCAACUGGAAUAUGUUUAUCUCAGUCUUCCACGCAAGAUGCUGACAUGGCAAUAUGCAAUGAAUCUGAUUUAUCACAAAGAUGGACAUUUCUGAACCUAUAAUGUCUACUAAAUAUAUUGUCCCUCGGCUGACUCGUAUCCAGUCGUCAAAGCUAAAAAUUAUACAUUAUGACUACAUAUGUAGUUCAGUGGAUUGAGGAGUGUGAAUCACUCCCAUCAUGCACUAUUAUUUUUUCAAUCCUCAUUCAGGGACUAGGUACGAGUCAGGUCUCUCGGUACAAAAGCAAGUUUUGCAAUUGGCAAAUUUUCCCUGAAAAAUAUUCUUGCAAGUUUUGAAAGGGCAGCGAAUAACUUUAAACCACGCGCGUAUUUUAUAAAUGAUAAAUUUUAUUAGCCAACAUUUCGCUACUUACAAUACAAAAAAGAGCUCUGAAAAUAUUGUAUUGUAAACAACGAAACGUUGGCUAAUAAAAUUUAUAGAAAAAUCCUUGCUAGUGUUUAGAACAAAAUUGACAAUGAACCAAGAAGGCAUUCAGAAUCUCUUCAAAGCUUUGGACAAAUAAACUUGCAUGUGUGUACUACGAACAAAUGCAAUUACGAAUGGAAGCUUUACGGGAUUAUUUUCCAUGAAACCUUCUGCAUGCUUCUACCUAAGCAAGUCUACCUUCUGGUGUAUAAUUUUGACAGUGUAAAGAGUUAGCCUGUGUUCCAGUCCAUUACACCGUUGUGUCCCACUAUACA